GAGCAGACGAAACUAAAGGUACAGUUACUAGUUAGUGUUUUUUGUGUGUUUGUUUAUGUGUGUGUCGUGGAGGAGUGAUCUGUGCCUGACCAUGUGGCUAUAUGACGAACCAGGCUGUUGCCACGGUGACGGUGGUGGUGGGCAUGACACAGAUGCGGGAGGUGGAGUUUGUGCCCGAUGGAGACAUGCAGCUGGACAAAUUGUGUUGGUCAUUGGUCAGACUGGAGUUUACAUGUGUACCUCCUUCACCAUCAUUGGUGGACACUUCACCUUGAGUGAUGCUUGAGCUGUCAUGGUGUUGCUGGUGCUGUGUGCCAUCAUCACCCUGACACAGACCACCCUGCAGACACCUUCAUCCUGGGUGCCACACGUCGCUGCUGCUACAACUCAGAGCAACAAGAGCGCAAGCCAGGAAGGGAGAUGUGUGCAGGUUUGCAGUAAACCUCCCUGAAGGUUCCAGAGCUGCUCAGCAAGUGUCCAGUCCAGGCUGUCACAAGACUGUGUGAUGGUGGACCUUCCACUGAUACUCACUGAAAACAGCUGUGCACUGCCACUCACAGGAAAUGGUGGUACUGUGGAUAGCAAGCGGAAGAGGCCUUGGGAGACUUCCGUUAAUGAGGAGCAACAGUCACACCUCACUGGAGUCUUUCAGGAACCAACAGUCAGGGCCUGAUGUGAAGGUGUCUGCAUCCAGUGUUUGGUGUCCUCUGUGCCUGCCUGGUGGUGCCUCAUUGCAGGGCCUGAUGUGAAGGUGUCUGCAGCCAGUGUUUGGUGUCCUCUGUGCCUGCCUGGUGGUGCCUCAUUGCAGGGCCUGAUGUGAAGGUGUCUGCAGCCAGUGUUUGGUGUCCUCUGUGCCUGCCUGGUGGUGCCUCAUUGCAGGGCCUGAUGUGAAGGUGUCUGCAGCCAGUGGUGGUGCCUCAUUGCAGGGCUGAUGUGAAGGUGUCUGCAGCCAGUGGUGGUGCCUCAUUGCAGGGCUGAUGUGAAGGUGUCUGCAGCCAGUGGUGGGUGUCCUCUGUGCCUGGUGGUGGUGGUGCCUCAUUGCAGGGCUGAUGUGAAGGUGUCUGCAGCCAGUGUUUGGUGUCCUCUUUGCCUGGUGGUGCCUCAUUGCAGGGCCUGAUGUGAAGGUGUCUGCAGCCAGUGUUUGGUGUCCUCUGUGCCUGGUGGUGCCUCAUUGCAGGGCUGAUGUGAAGGUGUCUGCAGCCAGUGGUGGGUGUCCUCUGUGCCUGGUGGUGGUGCCUCAUUGCAGGGCUGAUGUGAAGGUGUCUGCAGCCAGUGUUUGGUGUCCUCUCUUCCUGGUGGUGCAGCCUGAUGUGUUGCCUGCUUCAGUGUAAAUCUUGCAAGCCAGAUCUGCCAGGUGUCUCCAGUGUAGUAGUCUAGGGUGCUUUGCUUUGUGUCUUUGGCAAUAAAUAAAUUUGUGAGUAUCAUUCUCAUGUGAAUUAUAUAGUUUGAUAAAAUUACAGAAUGUGCUUGGGUAAACUAAAUUUAUAUAUUGGUGGUAAACAAUUCAUGCAUCCCCAAGUAAAUAAAUAAAAAAAUAAAUAGGACCCAAAACAAUAGAUACAAUAUAGAUCAUCCUCUGGUCAAAAAAAAAGCCAGGAUUGGCCCAUUUUUGGCCAAGUUUAAAGUGAAACUUGCACACACAAGCCCUGUCCGAGCGACACCGGAGUCGCUCGGACAGGGCUUCUGUGUGCAAGUUUUACCUUAAACUUAGCCAAAAAUGGGCCAAUCCAGCCAAAAAUGGGCCAAUCCUGGCUUUUUUUUUUUGGACCAGAGGAUCAAUUGUUACUAGUAUUUUUUGCUUCCAUUUUUUUUUUUUUUUUUAUCAGGGCUAUGAACUGGUUACAUCAGAAAGCAGCUUAUUUGCAAUUUGUAAAAAGAUUUGUAUAUAAUUCCACAAUUCCACAAGUAUGAACAAGAUGAUUAAAUAUAUUUGUUUAAAUCACAUUGCCAAAGUUUCUGAGGAGGCAUGAACUGUUACACCAGAAAGCUUGUUUAUUUGCAACUUAUUAGUAUAAUUCCCUAAGUAUGUACAAGAUAAUAAUAUAUAUAUUGUUUAAUCACAAAAGUUUAAUAAAUACACAAUAGGAUAAA
This is a long non-coding RNA of Scylla paramamosain (green mud crab), 2091 nucleotides long. RefSeq lists it as uncharacterized. The transcript is spliced from 6 exons. Lineage: Eukaryota; Metazoa; Arthropoda; Malacostraca; Decapoda; Portunidae. The record is from RefSeq and is a predicted model, not a curated record.